UAGGGAAUCUUCCGCAAUGGGCGAAAGCCUGACGGAGCAACGCCGCGUGAGUGAUGAAGGUCUUCGGAUCGUAAAACUCUGUUAUUAGGGAAGAACAAAUGUGUAAGUAACUAUGCACGUCUUGACGGUACCUAAUCAGAAAGCCACGGCUAACUACGUGCCAGCAGCCGCGGUAAUACGUAGGUGGCAAGCGUUAUCCGGAAUUGUUGGGCGUAAAGCGCGCGUAGGCGGUUUUUUAAGUCUGAUGUGAAAGCCCACGGCUCAACCGUGGAGGGUCAUUGGAAACUGGAAAACUUGAGUGCAGAAGAGGAAAGUGGAAUUCCAUGUGUAGCGGUGAAAUGCGCAGAGAUAUGGAGGAACACCAGUGGCGAAGGCGACUUUCUGGUCUGUAACUGACGCUGAUGUGCGAAAGCGUGGGGAUCAAACAGG
RNAcentral lists this ribosomal RNA (429 nucleotides) under Actinomycetes bacterium. RNAcentral describes it as "Actinobacteria bacterium partial 16S ribosomal RNA". It matches the Rfam family "Bacterial small subunit ribosomal RNA", at positions 355 to 776 of the family's 1533-position model. Lineage: Bacteria; Bacillati; Actinomycetota; Actinomycetes. The record is from RNAcentral.